CCUACGGGAGGCAGCAGUGAGGAAUAUUGGUCAAUGGGCGCGAGCCUGAACCAGCCAAGUCGCGUGAGGGAAGACGGUCCUAUGGAUUGUAAACCUCUUUUGUCGGGGAGCAAAAGACGCCACGCGUGGCGUUCCGAGAGUACCCGAAGAAAAAGCAUCGGCUAACUCCGUGCCAGCAGCCGCGGUAAUACGGAGGAUGCGAGCGUUAUCCGGAUUUAUUGGGUUUAAAGGGUGCGCAGGCGGAAGAUCAAGUCAGCGGUAAAAUUGGGGGGCUCAACCUCGUCGAGCCGUUGAAACUGGUUGUCUUGAGUGAGUGAGAAGUAUGCGGAAUGCGUGGUGUAGCGGUGAAAUGCAUAGAUAUCACGCAGAACUCCGAUGGCGAAGGCAGCAUACCGGCGCUCAACUGACGCUGAUGCACGAAAGUGUGGGGAUCGAACAGGAUUAGAUACCCGGGUAGUC
This 459-nucleotide ribosomal RNA is filed under the name uncultured bacterium. Its description in RNAcentral is "partial 16S ribosomal RNA". It matches the Rfam family "Bacterial small subunit ribosomal RNA", at positions 338 to 795 of the family's 1533-position model. The record is from RNAcentral.